CAGCUCUGAAGCCAAGAUCUCCUCCUCUGAAUUUGUGGCUGCAAAACUUCUUUCCAAGUGCAGUAAGGGCCCUCGCUAGAAGUUACUGAACUGAACAUGCAGCUGCUGGUCUGGAAGCCACAGCCGAGAUCUGAAAGGCAGGUUGGCAGCUUGCACUUGUCGGGACGCCCCUUCUGGAUCCUCGCUCUGCCCUCUGUCACGGGCUCAGCACACGUGGGGCAUCCCCCUGUGGUGCCCUCUGCUUCAGCAGCUCUCAAGGCAGCUCUGCUCCCCACAGCCUCUCACUGGGGGACCCAGCGGGGCCUGCAGGUGGAUGACUGUCAGGACAAGUAGCCUCUGUGUCCUGUGUUGAAUAAACACAUCAUUAGAGAGCUGGGGAAAAUACGUGGAGGGAAGGGAAAAUGUCAUUUUGGUAAAGGGCUCAGCUUAAAGGAAGAAAAGCCAUAAUGACAACAUUAAAUAUUUAGGUCUCAGGCCUAUCAGGAGGUUUUCUGUAGGGCAGGGACUUAGUCCGAGUUGUCCACUCACGGGGAGGCAGGCAGGGCAGCCUGCAGUGAUGGGCGUUAGGGUCAGAAGGGCCUGAUUGUCCGUCCCAGCUCUAUUACUUGGUUAAGUAUGGUCUUUCAGAAGUUAAUUCCAGCUUGUAAGACUCAGUGCCUGCAUUUUAAAAUAGACUUAGGAAUAAGUUAGAAGAGGUCAAGAUCACGUGAAAUACAAUGGCACCUUCCAUGAUCCGUGGGCUAUUGCAAACACUUAUAGGAUCCUACAUUCUUCUCUCUUCUUACCCCAUCCCAAGUUUCCUCAGCAUAUGGAUGCAAUUGCAUCGCAUUACUAUUAAGAAACCCCCCCCCCCUUUUUUUAUGCUUUUGCUGUUAGUUUCUUAACUCAGAACCCUGGCGACCUCGCCCCACUCUGAGAAUUCCGAGGGAUUCCAAAGUGGGUCUCUUGUGGCUCACAAACCGCUGUAGCACAACCUUCUGCACUGACCCCACAGAGCCACACGAGGGCAGCACAUCACCAGUGUUGCCGCUUCCUGGUCCAGGAGCCGACUCUGGAAUACCCCAGGGUGCAUUCUUAUGGGGUUCCCAAUUGGACCACCUGUGUGAUGCCAGGAGACUGUGUGGCAUGCAAAGAUGGCCUCCACUGAGCUGCAUCUCUCAAGACUCUCACCUUUCCACAUGGAAGGCAGACUGGCCCUGGACAGAAGGUAGAGUUUGCACCAUUUCACGGCUUUCCAUUUGAAUUUUGUGCUCUUUGGGACCCUAGGCUACCAUGUCAGAAAACUGCCAAAGCUUCUGGAGAGAUCACGUGAAAAAGCCUCGAAACUUAGAGAGGAAGAGAAAGAGAUAGACACCCAGGGGUCCUAGCAUCCCAGUUGAGCCUCUAGGUGUCUCCAGCCCCAGUUGCCAUCUGACCACACCUGUAUGAGAGAUUGGAGCAAAACCAGCAGAAGAACUGCCCCGCUGAACCCAGUCAGCUCAUAGAACCAUGAGAGACGAUAAAAUGAUAGCUGUUUUAAUGCAGCAAUAGAGAACUGAAGCAGGUAGUUUGUGUUUCCUUGCAUGUUCAGCUUGAAAUGUCUCUGCAGUCCAUGAAGGAGUGGGGAGAAAGCCCCAUUUUUACAGCACCACAAGGCAGCCUGCACCCCUCCUUCCCUGUCUCAGGCUUUGAUAAGUUUCAUGAAGCCAGGCUAGGGAGCAGUGACAGACACAGACUCUAGGCUCUCUGCCUUUCCGCAUUUCCUCAAGAUUCCUCUCAAAAUAUCUGUUCCUUCUCCCUCAGCUGAAAAACCCUGAGACAAUUUAACACUGGCAGUCUGGUCCACCCAUUCCUUAGGCAUCCUGGGAUAACCUCAAGCUAGGACUCCCUGCUUUGAUUAAAAGAUUAAAUGAGAGAAAUCCAAAUGUGAAGUUAUUUGUUCUUUGUUAAAAUUAUUUGGAAAGGUGUGACCUCCUUCUGAUCUGAUUAUAGACACCUCAGGGCAGAAAGAAGGUUCAGAGAUACUUGGUCUUGCAGCCAUCCUCAAAUGUACCAAAAAUUUUUGGUAGAAUAAGUAAAUAUUACAUCUUGCUUGCCUGCCUGCUAAUUGGAAAAUUAGUAUAAAUAUUCUAAAUCAUAACAUGCAAAUUUAUCUAAAAGAAUCACUGAAUCUCCUAGAAGGUUUUGGUCAUUACACAUUCUUUCAAACAAUGAAUACCAAAACCAACUACAGAGGUGAGCCUGUAAUAUACUUUGUACUCCUAAAUGGAACUCUACUCAAAAAUAGGGGAAACUCUUGAUCUAGUCUAACUCUUAUUUUAUUAAUGAAGAAACUAUAGCUAAAAAAAGAAGAAAUGGCUCACAAGAGGUUGGAGAUUUUCCAGGAAAGUUCCAAGUUGAAAUUUCUCAGCCUUGAAGAUGGCAACACAGGAUCCCAUGUCUAUAUGCAGGAACUUCCAAGACACAAAGUAUGCCUUUAAAAUCUCAGUUUUACAACAACAGCUAUCAGCAGAAAGAAGUAUAAAUGGUCCGAUUUUUUUAAAGUGUUCAAUUUGCAGGGUGAUAUGGCUUGGAUCUGUGUCCCUGCCCAAACCUCAUGUCAAAUUGUCAUCCCCAAUGUUGGAGGUGGGGCCUGGUGAUUGGAUCAUGGGGGCAGAUUUCCCCCUCCUUGCUGUGAUGGUGAGUGAGUGCUCACAAGAACUGGUUCUUUAAAAGUGUGUAGCACCUUCCCCAUCUCUCUCUCUUGUUCCUGCUCUGGCCAUGGAAGAUGAGCCUGCUUCCCCCACACCUUCUACCAUGACUGCAAGUUUCCUGAGGCCUUCCCAGAAGCCAACGGAUGGCCAGUAUCAUGCUUCCUUUACUGUCUGCAGAACGAUCAGCCAAAUAAACUUCUUUUCUUCAUAAA
Molecule: non-coding RNA, 2884 nt
Organism: Homo sapiens (human)
Lineage: Eukaryota; Metazoa; Chordata; Mammalia; Primates; Hominidae
Source: RefSeq, a predicted model, not a curated record